CAGAAAGUAGUUUAACGAGAAUAUUGGCUUUGGGAGUCGAUGGUAGGGAAAAAUUCCUUCUUUCUG
This 66-nucleotide transfer RNA is filed under the name Saccostomus campestris (pouched mouse). RNAcentral's name for it is "tRNA-Pro". It matches the Rfam family "tRNA". Rfam says of the family: Transfer RNA (tRNA) molecules are approximately 80 nucleotides in length. Their secondary structure includes four short double-helical elements and three loops (D, anti-codon, and T loops). Further hydrogen bonds mediate the characteristic L-shaped molecular structure. tRNAs have two regions of fundamental functional importance: the anti-codon, which is responsible for specific mRNA codon recognition, and the 3' end, to which the tRNAs corresponding amino acid is attached (by aminoacyl-tRNA synthetases). tRNAs cope with the degeneracy of the genetic code in two manners: having more than one tRNA (with a specific anti-codon) for a particular amino acid; and 'wobble' base-pairing, i.e. permitting non-standard base-pairing at the 3rd anti-codon position. Lineage: Eukaryota; Metazoa; Chordata; Mammalia; Rodentia; Nesomyidae. The record is from RNAcentral.